AGUGAACGUUGGCGGCACGCCUAACACAUGCAAGUCGAGCGAAGUAGUUUACUACUUAGCGGCGAACGGGUGAGUAAUACUUGGAUAACCUGCCUUAAGGUCUGGGACAACUACAGGAAACUGUAGCUAAUACCGGAUAUGACCACACUUACUAAGGUAAGAGUGGUAAAAGAUUUAUCGCCUUUAGAUGGGUCCAAGUCGCAUCAGGUUGUUGGUGGGGUAAUGGCCUACCAAGCCUAUGACGCGUAGCAGGUCUUAGCGGAUGAUCUGCCACAUGGGGACUGAGAUACGGCCCUGACUCCUACGGGAGGCAGCAGUGAGGAAUAUUGGGCAAUGGACGCAAGUCUGACCCAGCGAUGCCGCGUGAAGGAUGAAGGCCUUAGGGUUGUAAACUUCUGUCAGCAGGGAAGAUAAUGACGGUACCUGCAGAGGAAGCCCCGGCUAACUCCG
This 450-nucleotide ribosomal RNA is filed under the name uncultured bacterium. RNAcentral's name for it is "bacterial SSU rRNA". It matches the Rfam family "Bacterial small subunit ribosomal RNA", at positions 29 to 505 of the family's 1533-position model. The record is from RNAcentral.